Molecule: ribosomal RNA, 565 nt
Filed under: uncultured bacterium
Lineage: Bacteria
Description: bacterial SSU rRNA
Rfam family: Bacterial small subunit ribosomal RNA
Source: RNAcentral
AGUUGAGUGCCUCUGGAGGUAGGCGGGCUACGUUCGUGCCAGCAGCCGCGGUAAGACGAACCGUCCAAACGUUAUUCGGAAUCACUGGGCUUAUAGGGCGCGUAGGCGGGCGAUCAAGUCAGGGGUGAAAUCCUCCAGCUCAACUGGAGAAGUGCCUUUGAUACUGGUUGUCUAGAGUGAGGUCGGGGCAUGUGGAACUUCCAGUGGCGCGGUGACAUGCGUAGAUAUUGGAAGGAACACCAGUGGCGAAAGCGAUGUGCUGGAUCUCAACUGACGCUGAGGCGCGAAAGCUAGGGGAUCAAACGGGAUUAGAUACCCCGGUAGUCCUAGCCCUAAACUUUGGGUACUAGAUUGUGGACUAACAUGGGUUCACAGUCGAAGCAAAAGUGUUAAGUACCCCGCCUGUGGAGUAUGGUCGCAAGGCUGAAACUCAAAGGAAUUGACGGGGGCUCACACAAGCGGUGGAGCAUGUGGCUUAAUUCGAGGCUACGCGAAAAAGCUUAUCCUGGAUUUGACAUGUUCGAAAGAGUUAGGAAGUAGGACCCGGCAACGGGAACGAACGGUA